CUACGGGGGGCUGCAGUCGAGAAUAGUCUACAAUGGACGAAAGUCUGAUAGUGCGACGCCGCGUGGAUGAAGAAGCAUUUCGGUGUGUAAAGUCCUUUUCUGUGUGAGCAAUGUUUUCCAGGUUAAUAGCUUGGAGAAAGCGAUAUUAACACAGGAAUAAGCUCCGGCUAACUCCGUGCCAGCAGCCGCGGUAACACGGGGGGAGCAAGCGUUGUCCGGAAUUACUAGGCGUAAAGGGUAAGUAGGCGGAAUUGUAAGUCAGAUGUUAAAGGCACCGGCUCAACCGGUGUAUGGCAUUUGAUACUGUAAUUCUGGAGUAAGGUGGGGGAAGACGGAAUUCCUGGUGUAGCGGUGGAAUGCGCAGAUAUCAGGAGGAACACCAGAGGCGCAGGCGGUCUUCUAUACCAUUACUGACGCUCAAUUACGAAGGUGUGGGUAUCAAACAGGAUUAGAUACCCGCGUAGUC
RNAcentral lists this ribosomal RNA (466 nucleotides) under uncultured bacterium. RNAcentral's name for it is "partial 16S ribosomal RNA". It matches the Rfam family "Bacterial small subunit ribosomal RNA", at positions 339 to 795 of the family's 1533-position model. The record is from RNAcentral.